UUGGAGGGCAAGUCUGGUGCCAGCAGCCGCGGUAAUUCCAGCUCCAAUAGCGUAUAUUAAAGUUGUUGCAGUUAAAAAGCUCGUAGUUGAAUUUCGGGAUCAGUAUGUUGGUCGUGCUUCGGUACGUACUGUCAUUACUGGUUUCUCCCUUCUGAAGAACCUUGAUGUCAUUAAUUUGGUGUCUUGGGGAAUCAGGACUGUUACUUUGAAAAAAUUAGAGUGUUUAAAGCAGGCAUACGCUUGAAUACAUUAGCAUGGAAUAAUGAAAUAGGACGCUUGAUUCUAUUUUGUUGGUUUCUAGGAUCGACGUAAUGAUUAAUAGGGAUAGUUGGGGGCAUUAGUAUUCAAUUGUCAGAGGUGAGAUUCUUGGAUUUAUUGAAGACUAACUACUGCGAAAGCAUUUGCCAAGGAUGUUUUCAUUAAUCAAGAACGAAAGUUAGGGGAUCGAAGACGAUCAGAUACCGUCGUAGUCUUAACCAUAAACUAUGCCGACUAGGGAUCGGAUGAUGUUAUUUUUAAUGACUCAUUCGGCGCCUUACGGGAAACCAAAGUGUUUGGGUUC
RNAcentral lists this ribosomal RNA (562 nucleotides) under uncultured Glomeromycotina. Its description in RNAcentral is "SSU rRNA". It matches the Rfam family "Eukaryotic small subunit ribosomal RNA", at positions 548 to 1114 of the family's 1831-position model. Lineage: Eukaryota; Fungi; Glomeromycota. The record is from RNAcentral.